Molecule: long non-coding RNA, 1733 nt
Organism: Papaver somniferum (opium poppy)
Lineage: Eukaryota; Viridiplantae; Streptophyta; Magnoliopsida; Ranunculales; Papaveraceae
Exons: 9
Source: RefSeq, a predicted model, not a curated record
ACCAGCUGCAGUUACCCAGUACUCCACUUUUGUGAAAAACCAGAGAUCCAGAAAAGAGAGAGGGGAUGUGAAGUACAAAAAGAGAGAUGAGAAUGGUGAAAAAUCAGUUUUCUCGAAUGAAUAAAUCAUUGUUGAUGAAGAAGAUCUUUCUCAUGCUGAUGAAGAUACCGAUCCAAAUAACGAUGAGGGUAUCCAUCAACUUAGAUAAUGAAAGUAGUUCUCAACUUUGAUUAUUCAAAUUGGGUUUUUGCUAAUUUUUGAAAUAAUUUUCUGAUGAAAUAUUGCUAAUGCAAUAUAGGUAACCACAAUAAGACUGUAUUGGCUUUGGUUUCCUUCGCCUCAAUACUUAGGUUGAAUUACAAAUUCCCGUACAUUUUCCGCCGAAUUCAAUCCGAUAUUCGAGGAUGGACCAGCUGAUUAUGUUAUGGAAGACUAUCAUAGAAGCCUAUGGAAGCUGUUGAGGUUGCUGAUAAGAUGGAAGAGACUGAAGAUACUAUUUCGAGGAAAAAAUCGAUGGCUUACAACAUUGAAGAUAUUUUACAUUCAAAAAGAUUCACAUGGAGCAGAGACUGCUCUUCUUUCUUCCUUUCAAGGCUGUUCAAGUGUGCCCACACUCGCGAUAGAGCUCUUCUAAUAAAUGUUGGAUGACUGCAGGCCUUGAAGUGGGUACAUCAAAUUCUCAUAUCUUGGUGUCUUUGGGAGCUGAAAAGACUAAAACACCCUAAUACUUGAAAAUAAGUUCAUUCUUAAUCCUAUCUCUCUAUUCACGACUUCACCACCACCAUUAGCCGAAUAACCAGCCGCAGCGUCUCCACCAUCUCCACCGUAACCUGUACCACCACCGUGGAACCAUAGAACUGAACUAAUUCAAGCAUUUCGUAUUUCCGUUUCUUACUCACCACCACAACCUUCCUCCUUCAGUUUCGAAUUCUACCCUCCACCUCCAGCAACACCAUCACCACCAUUACAGAUUUCUAUUUAACAUGUUCAGUUCUAUUUCAAUUCAUACCAGUUCAAUUGGAUUUCAGUCCAUGCCAAUUUCGAUUCCGAUAAUCCCCACCAUCACUACCAGCACCAGAUGAUGAAAAGCAAGCUCAUUUGAACAAUCUGGAGAAUGCAGCUGAUAAUCUACAGCUCUUCAAGGCAGAUUUGCUGGACUACAACAGCCUUUGUGCUGCAAUUGCAGGAUGCAGCGGUGUUCUUCAUGUUGCCAGUCCAUGUACAACUCCUGUGUCUGAUCCUAAGGUUGAACGGAUUGAGCCUGCUGUCAAGGGUCCGCUUAAUGUACUGAAGGCGUGUACCGAGGCUAAAGUGAAGAGGGUUGUGGUUGUGCCAUCUCGUGCUGCUGCUAUUUGGAACCGUAACUGGCCAAUUGAUCAACCCAUUGAUGAGUCUUGUUGGUAUGACAAGGAACACUUGAAUACCAAUUAAGGGAGCUUGAGAAACAAGCUGCUGAAGGUCGAAUAAUGAAGGAUAAACCACCUCAGCUCCGUCAAAGUCCUAGACUACUUGAGCUACAGAAACAGAGAGAUGCUCAACUACAGGUCCGUCGAGUUAUAGGUAAAGACAAACGUAAUGCUGGAUUUUGACAAAAUCCCUUAGUCGCCAGCAGUAAAAGUAGAUGAUUGUAUGAAGUAGGUAAUUUGUUAAUGUUGUCAUAGGUUGAGUACUGAUAUGGGAUUGCUUGUACCGUUCAGGGUUGGCAUCAUAUAUGAAGCAUCCAUUUCUUCUUU